Sebastes umbrosus (honeycomb rockfish) is the source of this 4259-nucleotide long non-coding RNA. RefSeq lists it as uncharacterized. The transcript is spliced from 2 exons. The record is from RefSeq and is a predicted model, not a curated record. Lineage: Eukaryota; Metazoa; Chordata; Actinopteri; Perciformes; Sebastidae.
GAGUUGAGGAGGAGGAGGAGGAGGGAAGAGGGAUGCUGCAUUUUAGUGAUAGCACAGACUGAGACUGCAGGAGCAGACAGAGGGAUGGAGGGAAAUUAAGAGAGAGGAGAGCAGCAUUGUCAGAGAGAGCACGACAUGGAUUCCCAUACAGGUAAAAUAUCAAAUAGCAACAAACUAAUUAUGAAACAUACAUUGAAUAUUAUUGACUAAUUACAGCCUGGGAGAGGCCCGGCCCGUUUCUUCCAUGACAGCUGCAUCAAAGAUUUCCUCGAUGUCAUAGAAGAGCAGUCAACUUGCCAAAGCAUCCAUAAAUCCAUGCACCCAUGCACACGUCCAUCUUUCUCCCCAUCUAACCCUCCACCCAUCCAUGUGCUUCCAUCCACUCAUCCAUGCUCUUCUUUCCUUAAUUCGUCCAAAGCUCCUCCUCUCACUUCGCUCCAUAUCCAUCUUACAAUCAUCUUCCCAUUCCACCCACACAAAAACUCCCCCACUCCUCUUCUUCAUCCUUCCCCUGCCUCCUCCCUCUAUCUCCCCUGCUGCCUCUUCCACAGAUCCUGAGGGCAUCUCUUUUUAUUAUCUUCAUCUCCACAUAUCCUUCUUCUCCAAUCCGUCUCUCUGCUGGCAGCAUUUACCACUGCUUUAAGUUUUUAUUUCUUGUCCAGACUGUGACAAACAUGUACUUGAAAAACAAGCAGAAGGGGGUAAAGAGAGGAAACUUGCAUCUCUGACCACAGCAAGACACUUCUGGUGCCAGAAGAGGAGAGAAGAAACCACCUGUGAUCAAACUAUUAGCAGCAAGGGAGGGAAACAGACAUUUAAAGGCAGACUCCUGUUGGGGGGGAAAGUGUGUCUCUCUCUUUCAUUUUUCAUAUUCAUUCUCUCUGCUUGACUGUCUAUCCACAGGCUGUCCUUCCAUCCGUCUCAACAGGAUGCAGAGGUGUAACUGGGACGAAGAGAAAUGCUGAACGGAUCCUGACGUGUUGUUAUUAGAGAGAGGAGGAAAAAAACAGAGGAGCGUUUGCAAGCUUCUGGAAGGAAAAGGGAGGAGAGAGCAGGAUGAGUCAGAGCACAGCAGCGUGUAUUCUGCAUGCAAGAGGAGAGGCAGAGGGAGAUAGAGGAACAAUGAGAGAGAUAUAGGGGAGACAUCAGAGAGGACUUGACCAGAAUUGAGCAGCCAUUGGACAGAAGAAGAACAGUAUGAGACAGUAUAGCAGGCGGUGAGUGAGAUAUAGGCCAAGUGAAUCAGCUUGCCAGAGGGAGAGGAAGGCAAGAAAAGGGUGAGUUUAGAAAGUGGAGGGUUUGAUAUGACUGAAGAGGGUUGAAGGAAGGUUGAUUGAAGGUCUGCUGCAGGGUGGACAGAAAACAGCGAAGGACAGGCUUAAUGAAAAACUACGUGAGCAGCUCCAGGGGAAAAAGUCCUGAGUGACUGUGGCUUGCUCCGGGGAGGGGACAUUACUGAGAUCUUCAUAUGGCAGGACAAGCUUCAGGAAGGUUGACCAUCAAAAAUGAAGAUAGAGUAGAGAGGUUAAAAAAGAGCAGAUGAGAGCAUCAUUGAAGAGCAUCCAAGCAGAGAGCUAAAAAGGAACAGACCAGACAACAUGUCAUCCAACGCACAACGGCGGAGACGUGGAAACUUUAACUGUGACAGCAACACAGCAAGCGGUUCCUGUUAAAUAUUGAUGCUGACAGGCCACUCUGGGAAGAGCUCGCUCCUUGCACCGCAGAGGGGGACACAGAGGGAAGAACCACAGUUGCUCUUUUUUUUAUUCUAAGGGAUUUUUACACCAGAACAGACGAGCUGUUAAGUGUGGCAGAUGACAGCCGAGUGGGGUUCAAAUGUUACUACAAAUUUAAACAGGACAUAAAAGUAGCAGAGAGGUGGUUCCCUGGAGUCUGAGCAAGUUCUUGGAAGAGUGGAAUAUCUACAGAGACCCUCAUCUUGUGUGGGAACAGCAAGGCAAUGAACAUUUGAGAGAUCACUGGGACCACAUCAGGACCAGAACAAUUUCUUCUUUUCUACGAGAACAAGAACCAGCUCUGCCGAUGACUACAGAUUUAUAUUUUUGGAUUGACAUGCCCCACCUGCUUUGACAGGCACUCUGGGGGUACAUCACUGCCAGAUGAGAGAAGCCAAACACUGCUGAAGCAUUCACAAGUGUUUCCUAUUUUUAUUUUGUCCCAGACUGAUUGGAACUGUCUCUGAAAAUGGCCUCAUUACAGAGAUUUGGCCAGAGGAGGAUUGCUGUCGUGGCUUGAGGAAAUAUAAGUGAGGAAAUGCUUUGAUGUGCAUCAACACGCAGGAUCCUUUAAUUGGAAGCUGGACUUCGUUUUUGUCUCCGUGACUACAUAAGGACGAUUCUCCAGCUUAACUGAAUCAAAAUUAAGAUAGAGACUUCCUUGUCCGACCUGAAUCCCCAAUUCCUCAAAACAUCAUGACAGUAACGUAGGAAGACACAACGCCACCGUCUCCAUUCAGCUGCGGAUAGACCAGCUGCAUGUUUAUGUGUGGCUGCGCGGGGGUUUAAGGACUGUCGAGGAGCUCAGCUGUGUUUGUGCGUAUGUUUGUGUGAGUGUAGAGGUGUGUGUGUGUGUGUGUGUGUGAGCCCAGCUCUGUCUGUCUGAGCGCAUUUUCAAAGCAUCGCCCGGAGCUGUGUGAGCGUGUGUUUGUGUGUGUGUGUCGCCUGGAUUCUCCCCACCAGCGACAGAGCUGGACCUGAACAGCAGUGGUGAGAGGGGGGACAGGGAGGGGGAGGAGGAGGAGAAGAAGAGGGAGGUGAAAGAAACCAGCAGGACGGAGGAGACGCAAAAACUGACAACAUGCUCGGAUAAAGAGAAGAAAGAAGGGAGUUUUUGGCUGCCCCCCUGGUGCAAUGUCUGGCGUCGCGCCCUGUGGUGGUGGGGUUCUGUGAUGGUAACCAUGGUCCCCGGCAGCCGCUAUGUCUGCAGCGCUCAUGCAAGAGAGGAGGACGCCACGAACGACCGCGAAGAGCGAAUUUUAGCCGUGCUGGGCAUCAUCGGAACCAUCCUCAAUCUCCUGGUGGUCAUAUUUGUCUACAUCUACACCUCCGUUACCUGAGGGUUUCUGCGAGAGCUCGAACGAGAGACGUUUGGCACCGUUUCCAGCUUUUCUCCACACUGCUACCCUCCUCUUUAAGUAUUUAUAUACUUAAAGAGGGUGUGAUUAUUCAGAGUGAGCAGUAAGAUGAGAGGGUCAUUGGCAGUGUGUUCAGCCAUAUUUAACUACACCUACAACUAUCACUGUUGAUCCCUUAAGACACCUCUGCUCUGUGAGCUAAAGACUGCUGCCAAUCUCAGAGAAGGAGAAGCACUUCCCCCCAAUUUUUAAACUGCUUCUUCCCAUUUUCAAAGACAAUUUCACACGUCCUCAUGUCAAAUGACAGUUGACAGCGUGUCCAGUCUGGUAAUGGUCACAUGUCUCUGUGUUCAUAAUGACUGGGGGCAAGUGUGUUUGAUCUGAUGGCGGUCACAUUUGACUGUGUUGCAUUUUCCACUUUGUCACAUGACAUGUAAAAGUGUGUCAAGCUCCUUUGUGAGAUUUAAGUACUAUCACUGCCAGUUUAAUAUACCUUCGAGUUAACUUGAUAAGGAGAGAUGUGGUACGCUGCUAAAGCUAUUAAAAGGGACCAAAAUUGCCAAAUGAAUUAUUUUUAACAGAGGAAGCCAUAGGCCGUCUGAGCACCCUUAAAUCUACUUGAAUUUAUACAGAUAAUCAUUCGCACUCGUUGAUAAAUACCCGUUUCUGUAGUUAGUAGAGUGACUGUAAAAGUUUUACAUGGACCUAAUGUGUCCACACCUGAGCACACCGGAGGAGAGAUUCCUGGCCGUUCUGGGAGUCAUCGGUAUCAUACUCAACCUCCUGUUGCUCAUCUUCGUCUAUAUAUACACUGCCGUCUGAACACAGUAUCAGCUAUGAGAUAAUCUUUUUGCCACACCUAACAGCACCUGUAACCUUAUAGGGUAUGUUGUGCAACCACACUUGUAUAUAUUGCACCUAUAAGCACACGCUGGUUCACAGCCGAUUUGGGGAUUAUAUGAUAUUCUAGGCAGGUUUCUAGACAGUGAUACUCUAAUAAUAAAUUAGAUUUAUUCACAGACUAAUUUAUAAUAGAAAUACACGUUAAGAAUUUACCUUUUUAUAUAAAUGUGUGGUGUUUUUGUAGAUGUAGUACUCUUUCACAUACAGUAUGUGCAUGAUGAGAUGUUUACUUAAUAUAAUCUUUAUCACACUUUGACCAAAA